RNAcentral lists this ribosomal RNA (433 nucleotides) under uncultured Lachnospiraceae bacterium. RNAcentral's name for it is "partial 16S ribosomal RNA". It matches the Rfam family "Bacterial small subunit ribosomal RNA", at positions 341 to 792 of the family's 1533-position model. The record is from RNAcentral. Lineage: Bacteria; Bacillati; Bacillota; Clostridia; Lachnospirales; Lachnospiraceae.
ACGGAGGCAGCAGUGGGGAAUAUUUCACAAUGGGCGAAAGCCUGAUGCAGCGACGCCGCGUGAACGAAGAAGUAUUUCGGUAUGUAAAGUUCUAUCAGCAGGGAAGAUAAUGACGGUACCUGACUAAGAAGCACCGGCUAAAUACGUGCCAGCAGCCGCGGUAAUACGUAUGGUGCAAGCGUUAUCCGGAUUUACUGGGUGUAAAGGGAGCGCAGGCGGUGCGGCAAGUCUGAAGUGAAAUCCCGGGGCUCAACCCUGGAACUGCUUUGGAAACUGUCGUACUAGGGUGUCGGAGGGGUAAGCGGAAUUCCUAGUGUAGCGGUGAAAUGCGUAGAUAUUAGGAGGAACACCAGUGGCGAAGGCGGCUUACUGGACGAUAACUGACGCUGAGGCUCGAAAGCGUGGGGAGCAAACAGGAUUAGAUACCCUGGUA